UUCGGUGAUAGUAACCCGUUGAGU
This 24-nucleotide microRNA is filed under the name Bombyx mori (domestic silkworm). RNAcentral describes it as "bmo-miR-3301". Lineage: Eukaryota; Metazoa; Arthropoda; Insecta; Lepidoptera; Bombycidae. The record is from miRBase by way of RNAcentral.